CCUACGGGAGGCAGCAGUGGGGAAUAUUGGGCAAUGGGCGCAAGCCUGACCCAGCAACGCCGCGUGAAGGAAGACGGCUCUCGGGUUGUAAACUUCUUUUGGCAGGGAAGAGUAGAAGACGGUACCUGACGUAUAAGCAAUGGCCAACUACGGGCCAGCAGCCGCCGUAAUACGUAGGUCGCCAGCGUUGCGCGGAUUUACUGGGUGGAAAGGGCGUGUUGCCGGGUUGACAUGUCCGAGGGGAAAACCUGCGGGUUAACCGCAGCACUGCAUUUGAAACUGUGGAUCUUGAGUACGGGGGAGGCAGACGGAAUUCCUGGUGUAGCGGUGAAAUGCGUAGAUAUUAGGAGGAACACCAGUGGCGAAGGCGGUCUGCUGGACAGCAACUGACGGUGAGGCACGAAAGCGUGGGGAGCGAACAGGAUUAGAUACCCGAGUAGUC
RNAcentral lists this ribosomal RNA (442 nucleotides) under uncultured bacterium. RNAcentral's name for it is "partial 16S ribosomal RNA". It matches the Rfam family "Bacterial small subunit ribosomal RNA", at positions 338 to 795 of the family's 1533-position model. The record is from RNAcentral.